Molecule: ribosomal RNA, 488 nt
Filed under: uncultured bacterium
Lineage: Bacteria
Description: partial 16S ribosomal RNA
Rfam family: Bacterial small subunit ribosomal RNA
Source: RNAcentral
UGAACGCUGGCGGCAGGCCUAACACAUGCAAGUCGAACGGUAACAGGAAGCAGCUUGCUGCUUCGCUGACGAGUGGCGGACGGGUGAGUAAUGUCUGGGAAGCUGCCUGAUGGAGGGGGAUAACUACUGGAAACGGUAGCUAAUACCGCAUAAUGUCGCAAGACCAAAGAGGGGGACCUUCGGGCCUCUUGCCAUCGGAUGUGCCCAGAUGGGAUUAGCUUGUUGGUGGGGUAACGGCUCACCAAGGCGACGAUCCCUAGCUGGUCUGAGAGGAUGACCAGCCGCACUGGAGCGGAGACGCGGUCCAGACGCCUACGGGAGGCAGCAGUGGGGAAUAUUGCACAAUGGGCGCAAGCCUGAUGCAGCCAUGCCGCGUGGAUGAAGAAGGCCUUCGGGUUGUAAAGUACUUUCAGCGGGGAGGAAGGGAGUAAAGUUAGUAUCUGUGCUCAUUGACGUUACCCGCAGAAGAAGCACCGGCUAACUCCGUG